RNAcentral lists this ribosomal RNA (229 nucleotides) under uncultured bacterium. RNAcentral's name for it is "partial 16S ribosomal RNA". It matches the Rfam family "Bacterial small subunit ribosomal RNA", at positions 568 to 796 of the family's 1533-position model. The record is from RNAcentral.
UGCGUAGGCGGGUUUGUAAGUCAGUGGUGAAAGCCCGGAGCUCAACUCCGGAACUGCCAUUGAUACUGCAAAUCUUGAAUAUAGUUGAGGUAGGCGGAAUAUAGCAUGUAGCGGUGAAAUGCUUAGAUAUGCUAUAGAACACCGAUUGCGAAGGCAGCUUACUAAACUAUUAUUGACGCUGAGGCACGAAAGCGUGGGGAGCGAACAGGAUUAGAUACCCUGGUAGUCC